RNAcentral lists this transfer RNA (77 nucleotides) under Acidihalobacter ferrooxydans. Its description in RNAcentral is "tRNA-Arg". It matches the Rfam family "tRNA". From Rfam's summary of the family: Transfer RNA (tRNA) molecules are approximately 80 nucleotides in length. Their secondary structure includes four short double-helical elements and three loops (D, anti-codon, and T loops). The record is from RNAcentral. Lineage: Bacteria; Pseudomonadati; Pseudomonadota; Gammaproteobacteria; Chromatiales; Ectothiorhodospiraceae.
GCCCCGGUGGCACAGUAGGAUAGCGCGGCCCCCUCCUAAGGGGCAGGUCGGGGGUUCGAAUCCCUCCCGGGGCACCA